Molecule: long non-coding RNA, 3104 nt
Organism: Aedes albopictus (Asian tiger mosquito)
Lineage: Eukaryota; Metazoa; Arthropoda; Insecta; Diptera; Culicidae
Exons: 2
Source: RefSeq, a predicted model, not a curated record
UGCCUUUUACUACUUCUUCCUAAAUCAUAAAACAUACACACAAACUUCCACCAAUACACCGAUUCCAAGUCAUCAAUGCCAAUAUCUUCACACGUACACACGACACCGCAACUCUACAACAAUUCCAUUACUGAAUGCAUUCAUCUCCUCUUUCAAGUUACUGCAAAGACGCACAUUUAAUCCCCAUUAUGUUUUGACACACGGAAUUGGCAAACAUUUUGCCAAUAGUGUUUCCUACGCACAUUUUCAUCCCAUAUCACAAUGCUCUGGCUUAUCUGCUUGAGCUUACCGCAAAAUGCGAAAAAAUGGUUUUACCUGUAACCUUAUGAAAGUGUGACGUUUUGUGCGUUUGGGGAUGUUCAUUUUAAGUGUGGUGAUGGUUUUGUACUUCAGUUUCAUUUCAUCCAUCGUGUUGGAAAAAAAAUCGAUCAUCAUAAAUUACAUUUUAUCUAUAUUGGGUUCAUUAAAAAAUUGAUUCUGUUUUCAAAAAAGCUAUAUUCAUUGAACUGGGUCAUUCUCUGUAUAAAUAAUGCAAAUUCGGUCGCAUUCAAUAAGAUUUUCAGGUGCCAAAAAUUUGGCGCGAUCGGCCAUAAGUCACAAAUCCAAAAAUUUGACCUUAAUGAAUCUGUGAUAUCAUUGCGGAAACAUCAAGUUUAAUGCUUUAAUAACUAGAGACAAUCAUUACUUUUAUCAAAUGUCUGCAGAAACUUUUCCGCAGAGCUCAUGAAGUAGAUGUUCUUGAAUAGAUUUUUUUUUGAAUUUUUCUAAUUUCAGUCCUAUGCAUUUAUCACUCUAAAAGUCUCAUCCAUUCGGCAUGUAUUUGAUUGAUUGUGUUCGAUUCUUACAUAGUUGAAAUCGAUGUUUAUCACAAAUUUAGAUGCCAUUCUCUAUCAUUUUAUUUGAAUAAGUGUGACUGAAUUAGAUGCUUUUUCCACAAGGCAUAAAAAACUGAAAAUUUUCAACAAGCAAAAAAAAAAAAAUGUUUCCCAUUUCGACCCCUUCGGACGUUCUUCUAUAAAACUUCCCUAUAAUCUUAAACAAUGAUUUACUGGUGAAUUUAGCUGCAACCGUUUGCGACCAGAUUGGUGGUAGUCACUUAAGUGACGUACUUUCAAUUUAUUCAAAAACUAACAAAUACCUCCCGCAUUGCAUUAAACGGAGCACUUUUUUCCAACUUUCACCCUCUUUAUCCAUCACGUUAUGUGCAUUUCACUAUUCUUGAGCAGUUUUGACUACCGUGGACCGCCUAAACUAAUAUUAGUAUAUCUAAAUCAGUUGGUAACCAAAACUGCAAAAUAAUAAAUUUCGGCUCCGUAAGGCUAAAAAAUCGAUUGAGCCCAUUUUUCACAAACAAUACAAAAACGCAUUUGGAAUGCAAAUAUGCAUCAAAUUUAGCGGUUUCAUCAUAAAACUCGAUUAAAUCAUAUUUAUGACCGCCCUCAUAUGGGGCUGGAUCCACUGUGGAACGUUUUGUAUUCCUAUAAUAUUAUUUUUUCACUAUAUAAGAGAUUGCAAAAUCCGGUUCAAUGAAUAUUCCCAGUAUUUUUUUACGAACAAAAAGUAUAGAAGCUUACUUUGCCGAAGAACGGUUUAUUUUGUUUUUCAUUAAUUAAUAGGUAAUUGAUAGUACAUUUCGAUUUCUUACAUCAACAUGCACUACAUUUCAUACUUGCAUUUGUUAUUCCGUGAAAUAUUUCUUUGCUGUAUCACAAAGUUUUGCUUUACCGUGUUUUUGGUUUCUUUUUACGUUGCAUGGUAUAUUAGUAUUUAGAUUUCUCUACUAGAUGCUUUCACAGAAUUGGCAACAGUUAUGAUGACAUUGUUUCGGUUUGAAACUUUGCAGCACAAAUGUAUUCCCAGUACUAGAUACAUAAACAAUUACAUGGGAUGGGAAGAUCCACUUGCAAAAAGCUACAUUCACUUGUUGCUAACUCGCUAUAGAAACAUAUUAUCAAAAUACAAUAUGGAAGACUUUUUCAUAUUAGUAUUAUCUGAAACUUUGCCUAACGACAUACUGACGUAGCGUUAAUAGUUCAGUUAACAGAAGCCAGUAAACGUAACUCUCCACGGCGUAAAUAAAAUUUACAUUCACCGCGUGAAGACUUGCUAUCACUGCGACUUCGACUCCUCUGCGACUCUUACGUUAUUCGGUAAACUUUAAGGUAAAGUACAAGGCAAACGUCUUCCAUACACUAAAUACACUCUUUUUUAUAGGAAGCUUUUAAACUGGGAUAGUAGAAAGUGAAAUUCUUUGCAAGUGAAAUCCCCUGAUCCCAUUAACUAUUUCGUUGUAUACUAAACAUAGUGUAUUAGGUAGGAUAAAUAUAAUGGAGCCUGCCUUUUCGUAAUAUCCAUUUUUGCAUUUUUAUCUGUAUUAACCCUUUAAAGCUCAUGGUAUCUGUAGACUUUAGAGCAUCAUCACUUUUUGGCGAAUCCGACCUGAACCAGUUCACUUCAAUAUGUUUUAAGAGUGCUUGGGAAGAGGAGCUAAGCUUAUUAGAGUACUUGUCCACUCUAAUUAUUGGUUCAAUAGUAAAACUAUUGAUAAACAAUCAAGAACUAUUGAUAAACAAUUAAAAACUUUUUUUACGAUUUCGAUAAAUUGAAGUGAUUCGUAACACUUGUUCGAGCACUUUUUAUACAAAGCAUUCAUUAGCAUUCGAAACUUUGAAUGAAGUCGUGGGCGGGAAGGGUCAACGAGAUUUUUAGGCCUAGGCUAGUUCAUCUCGGGACCCACGUUUUGCUUCCCUUCCGAAGGAAGAACUCACAUUUAAUGAUUUUGUCGGGAGUGGGUUUCGACACCAGGUCCUCGGCGUGAUAGUCACGUACUUUAACCACCACACCAGGUCCGCUCCUUCAAAUUCGUAGAUAUUCUAUGUUCAAGGAAGCCAAUAAAAUUGCCACACAAGGCCAUGCAAUGGAACAACUUUGUCUUAAAUUUCCAAAGAUGGCCGUACAAUGGCUGCCUUGCAAAUACCGAAAGCACGGAUCUCGUCAUCCAAGCAACAAACAGAGCUGAAAAAGCAAUGAGUAGCCUUGCUCACUCGCGGUAAACAUUGAGCAGCAUUUUCGUUUUCGGGCAUUUUGUGGUUGACGAGAUCGGU